Lontra canadensis (Northern American river otter) is the source of this 107-nucleotide small nuclear RNA. Lineage: Eukaryota; Metazoa; Chordata; Mammalia; Carnivora; Mustelidae. The record is from RefSeq and is a predicted model, not a curated record.
AUGCUUAUUUCGGCAGCACAUAUAAUAAGACUGGAAAAAUACAGAGAAAAUUAGUAUGGCCCCUACUCAAGGAUGACACACAAAUUCAUGAAGAAUUCCAUAUUUAA